GGAGAGGUGGCCGAGAUAGGUCUAAGGCAGCCGCCUGCUAAGCGGUUGUCCCGUGAUGAGCGGGACCGUGGGUUCGAAUCCCACCCUCUCCG
Molecule: transfer RNA, 92 nt
Filed under: bacterium
Lineage: Bacteria
Description: tRNA-Ser
Rfam family: tRNA
About the family: Transfer RNA (tRNA) molecules are approximately 80 nucleotides in length. Their secondary structure includes four short double-helical elements and three loops (D, anti-codon, and T loops). Further hydrogen bonds mediate the characteristic L-shaped molecular structure. tRNAs have two regions of fundamental functional importance: the anti-codon, which is responsible for specific mRNA codon recognition, and the 3' end, to which the tRNAs corresponding amino acid is attached (by aminoacyl-tRNA synthetases). tRNAs cope with the degeneracy of the genetic code in two manners: having more than one tRNA (with a specific anti-codon) for a particular amino acid; and 'wobble' base-pairing, i.e. permitting non-standard base-pairing at the 3rd anti-codon position.
Source: RNAcentral